ACGGAAGGCAGCAGUGGGGAAUAUUAGGCAAUGGGGGCAACCCUGACCUAGCAACGCCGCGUGAAGGAAGAAGGCCUUCGGGUUGUAAACUUCUUUUAUAGGGGACGAAACAAAUGACGGUACCCUAUGAAUAAGCCACGGCUAACUACGUGCCAGCAGCCGCGGUAAUACGUAGGUGGCGAGCGUUGUCCGGAUUUACUGGGUGUAAAGGGCGCGUAGGCGGGAUGGCAAGUCAGAUGUGAAAUCCAUGGGCUCAACCCAUGAACUGCAUUUGAAACUGUCGUUCUUGAGUGUCGGAGAGGCAAGCGGAAUUCCUAGUGUAGCGGUGAAAUGCGUAGAUAUUAGGAGGAACACCAGUGGCGAAGGCGGCUUGCUGGACGAUAACUGACGCUGAGGCGCGAAAGCGUGGGGAGCAAACAGGAUUAGAUACCCUGGUA
RNAcentral lists this ribosomal RNA (437 nucleotides) under uncultured Oscillospiraceae bacterium. RNAcentral describes it as "partial 16S ribosomal RNA". It matches the Rfam family "Bacterial small subunit ribosomal RNA", at positions 341 to 792 of the family's 1533-position model. The record is from RNAcentral. Lineage: Bacteria; Bacillati; Bacillota; Clostridia; Eubacteriales; Oscillospiraceae.